AGUGUAGUGGCUUGAUCUCGGCUCAUUGCAACCUCUGCCUCUCGAGUUCAAGCAAUUCUCAUACCUCAGCUUCCCAAAUAGCUGGGAUUACAGGCAUGCACCAUUACUCCUGGCUAAUUUUUUCUGUAUUUUUAGUAGACACGGGAUCUCACCAUGUUUGCCAAGCUGGUCUCGAACUCCUGACCUCAAGUUAUCCACCUACUUUCGCCUCCCAAAGUGCUGGGAUUACAGGCAUGAGCCACCACACUUGGCCUUUGAAACUUACUUUUACAAAAGAUAGUUUAUUUCUCUCCUGGGAAGACCAGGGAACAUCCUCUGGUUUGGCGGGUCUCCAGCUCUCUCCAUAUUCUGAGCCAAGGAACAGCUGGCUAAAGAAUUGAAGUCUGUUGUGUGCCCACAGGGUCCUCUUGUUAAGACCUGUAAUGGGCAGUUGUGACCGCACAGAUUAGAACUUCACAGAUGGGUUAAUCCCACUUUCAUAUUGUGGAUCUUUGUCACAUGAAAGACCAGGUGACACAAGAAAGAUCUGAAGCUCUAUGUCCUUGAUAUUUUGAACAUCAUUUUAAGGGGGAGCAAAAGUCCUUUCAUUAUCAAUCCAGGUUUAUUUAGAUGGUGUCUUGGUCAGCUUUCAGAGCCUAGGUCACGUUGUUCAUAUUCUUGACUUUUUGCUCCCUUAGCUAGUAUGACAGGUUGGGAUGAAUUUUCCUCUUUCCUCAAAGGGUGGUGACUACAUCCAGCCUCUCAGGAUAUAAUACUAUCCAUGGCCCUUUUCUGACUUCGAGAUUGGACAGGCCAGUCACACUCCUAUUUAUUGGGUAUUUUGUUAAUAAAAGUCACUCCAGUGAAUAGAACUGAGCUCCAUGAAGGCUGGAACUAGACUGUGUCUAGUGUCUCAUAGUUGUGGUUAGUUAAUAUUUUUGACAAAUUGACCUGCAGGCUCACCUACUUUAAAAAAAAAGACAUACUUUACCUUUGCCUACCAAAGUUUGACUUGAAAGCUUCUAAGUUUGUCUGGUCUGUCAGGUGAAAAGCCACUCAGUAAAGUCAAACAGAUAUACCUCUUUUAGAUCUUGGAAUAUGCCCCACAGAAAUGGGUUCUUCUGGAGCCAGAGUACCUCGAGGUAUUGGCUUUCCUGAGGGUUUUAGUAUUAAUUACAUAUACUUGUAUUUUAAAAAAUCCAUCUCUAUAUUCACGGAAUUCUUUAAUAUCUUUGGCUGUUGUUAAAAGCAAGAAUUGGCCCCCCUGAGGGUUUGUAGACUAGUUUUGGCCUGUGACAGGAAUCCUUCUUAAUUCUGAUCUAGCUUUGUUUAUGAACUAGGUGUAGUUUGUCUCAAAUUAAUUCUGGAUGUUGAAAACCCUGAGGACAGAUUCUUGAGCAGAAUUACCAAUUAUAAACCUGGAAGGUGAGGUGGUGGACACCCAGGUCUGAGCUACUAGCUUGGUUCAGUCUUCUUGAAGCACAAACCAUUUUCAACAUCCUGUUCUUUAUUUCUAAUGAGGUAAAAUAUGGACAUGUUCUAGCCCUUCUUCUAAGCUUGAUAUUUUAAAGGUUUAGUACCACUUUGGUUAAGCUAGAAAAACAAAACUUUUUUUCCUUCGUAAGUGUAGAGUUCUGUGAGUUCUGUCAAACAUGUAAUCAUCAAGUCAAGAUACUAAAGUCACACCACCCCUAAAUAUUCCCUCAUUUCCCUUUGUAAUUAACUCCCAUCCCCGUCUCAGGAGGCCAUUGAUGUGUUUGCCAUCCCUGUAGUUUUUCCAUUCCUGAAUGCUAUAUAAAUGGGGACUGUUUUUUUUUGUUUUAAGAGACAGGGUCUUGCUAUGUUGCCCAAGGCUUGAGUGCAGUGGCUGUUCACAGAUAUUAUAGCAUACUACAGCCUUGAACUCCUGGGCUCAGGCAAUCGUCUCACCUCAGCCUCCUGAGUAGCUGGGAUUACAGGUACCUGCCACCAUGCCCAGCUAAUGGAGGCUUUUGAGUCUGGCUUUUCAUUUGGCAUGAUGCUUGAGACUUACCCAUAAUAUCAGUAGUUCAUUCUUUUAUUCCCAAGAAGUAUUGCAUUGCCAUGGAUGUACAAAUUUAUUCAUUCACCAGGUGGAAGGCUACUUCAUUGAAUUCAGUUUUUGGUGUUUAUGAAUAAGGCUGCUAUCUUCACAUACAGAUCUUUGCAACAAAAAGCAGCUGCGUGUAAAUUACGACCGCAACUGAGUUUCGCGUGAAUCAUUCACUCCUCUGAAGGCAACGCUGCAGUUACAGAAAUGUCCUACUGGGGCUCCUCCUUUGCCUUCUUCAAUUUUAAGAAUUCUGAGAUCAGAUUCUUUAAAUUCUGGCUCUCUGGAAAACUCAAAAUCCAAGAUGAUGCAUUAUGGAUAUGUUUUAUAGAAGAAAAUGACUUGGAAAUUCACUCAGUGCACCCAUCAAAAGACUGGCUAAUUAAUUUAAGUUAUAUAUCAAGUAUUAUAAGUCUUUGAUUAGCAAAUGUAUUUCUAAAGGACGAAUCACCCUAAUCUCCAUUGCAUCACCAGAGAUGACUGCUUCUGAAUUUUUAACUGUACAACUAUAGUUAUCAUUGACCUUUUCUCUCAGAGUUUUAGAACAAAGUCUUGCCACUAUCUACUCUUCACUUCUCCAAAUCCCAACACUCACCAUUAAGAACAGCCACUCCAGCUCCUCGUCUAGCCACAUUCAUGGGUGCAAUUAAAGUCCAGGUGUUAUUUUCAGGAUUGUAUCGUUCUACUGUGUUCAGACAAUUCCAAGAUUCUGCACCUCCGAUUAUGUACAAAUAACCACCAAGCUCACAGACUGCAGACUGGUGUCUCCCUACAAGAAAAGUCAAGUCAAGAUUAUUGCUACAUCUCCCAGACUUUAAGUGUGUACUACACAUACUGUUAAUUUAAAGGUCUUAAAAAAAAAAAAAAAGAAAAAGAAAAAGGAAAAAAAUCAACUUACGAA
Long non-coding RNA from Piliocolobus tephrosceles (Ugandan red Colobus), 2948 nucleotides. RefSeq lists it as uncharacterized. The record is from RefSeq and is a predicted model, not a curated record. Lineage: Eukaryota; Metazoa; Chordata; Mammalia; Primates; Cercopithecidae. The transcript is spliced from 3 exons.